Sinocyclocheilus anshuiensis is the source of this 471-nucleotide long non-coding RNA. RefSeq lists it as uncharacterized. NCBI's taxonomy places the organism in Eukaryota, Metazoa, Chordata, Actinopteri, Cypriniformes, Cyprinidae. The record is from RefSeq and is a predicted model, not a curated record. The transcript is spliced from 2 exons.
UAUGUGUAUAUAUAUAUGUAUAUCUAUAUAUGUAUAUGUGUUUGUGUAUGAAUAGGGAUUGGUGUAGGACACAUCUACUACUUCCUGGAGGAUGUAUUUCCUAACCAGCCCGGAGGCAGAAAGCUUCUUACCACUCCUGGAAUUUUUCGAGUUUUGUUUGACAUGCCUCAAGAAGAGCCGAAUUAUGCCCCUCUUCCAGAAGACCAGAGUGGGAUAUCCCGGAAUGGACAAGAUGUAGAAGAUAACGGCCAAGGUCAAAAUGAUGAUCUUCCAAGAGAAGAAAACUGAAGGUUUCAAUACCACAAAGACAGCAAUAAAUCUUGUCAUGCUUUUAAAGUCCUCCUUGCUUUAGUUGGGGAAGUUUAUGUCUGCAUGUCAAUUUUUGUAAGUCAGACUGUGUAAUAGAAGACACUCUUUGUGUACAAAAUAAAUGGAUCCAAAUUUUGCAUUCAGUGCCAUGCAUGUCACAAA